Molecule: ribosomal RNA, 447 nt
Filed under: uncultured bacterium
Lineage: Bacteria
Description: bacterial SSU rRNA
Rfam family: Bacterial small subunit ribosomal RNA
Source: RNAcentral
GAGUUUGAUCGUGGCUCAGGACGAACGCUGGCGGCGCGCCUAACACAUGCAAGUCGAACGGAGCUUACGUUUUGAAGUUUUCGGAUGGACGAAUGUAAGCUUAGUGGCGGACGGGUGAGUAACACGUGAGCAACCUGCCUUUCAGAGGGGGAUAACAGCCGGAAACGGCUGCUAAUACCGCAUAAUGUUGCGGGGGCACAUGCCCCUGCAACCAAAGGAGCAAUCCGCUGAAAGAUGGGCUCGCGUCCGAUUAGCCAGUUGGCGGGGUAACGGCCCACCAAAGCGACGAUCGGUAGCCGGACUGAGAGGUUGAACGGCCACAUUGGGACUGAGACACGGCCCAGACUCCUACGGGAGGCAGCAGUGGGGGAUAUUGCACAAUGGGCGAAAGCCUGAUGCAGCGACGCCGCGUGAGGGAAGACGGUCUUCGGAUUGUAAACCUCUGUC